This 328-nucleotide ribosomal RNA is filed under the name Achelia sawayai. RNAcentral describes it as "partial 12S ribosomal RNA". The record is from RNAcentral. Lineage: Eukaryota; Metazoa; Arthropoda; Pycnogonida; Pantopoda; Ammotheidae.
UAAAAGUUAUGAUCUAUAAAAUUAAAUAAUUUGGCGGUAAAUUAAUUUGUUUAGAGGAACUUGUUUUUUAAUUGAUAUUACACAUUUUUACUAACCUUAAUAUUUUUGUUUGUAUACCGCCGUUAAAAGUUAAUAUUUUUAUAGAGUUAAUUUUUUUGAAGUUUAUUCUGUUUUAUCAGGUUAAGGUGCAGUUUAUUUUAAGGGUAUAAUGAGUUACAAUUUAUUUAAUGAAUAAUGAAUUUGAGAUUGAAAUUUAAAUUUUUUUGAAGGUGGAUUUAAAAGUAAAAUUGUAUUAGAAAGAUUGUUUGAAUUUAACUCUAUUUUAUGU